This 367-nucleotide unclassified non-coding RNA is filed under the name fungal sp. RNAcentral's name for it is "partial internal transcribed spacer region". The stretch from base 1 to 46 matches the Rfam family "Eukaryotic small subunit ribosomal RNA", at positions 1786 to 1831 of the family's 1831-position model. Lineage: Eukaryota; Fungi. The record is from RNAcentral.
AAGUCGUAACAAGGUUUCCGUAGGUGAACCUGCGGAAGGAUCAUUAACACGUAUCCAACGUUAAACCCCCCUGUGAACUUUUACACUUGCUCUCGUGGCCUGCUAAAAUUGCAAUCCCUGGUAAAUCAUUGUUGGUAGGUUUCGAUCGAGCGAUCGUUGCAAGUGACCUGGUUUCCAGAAGCAUCAUGUCUGAAAGUGUCAUUGUUGUGGAAGGAUAACGCUUUACGAUCACUGGCCGAACACCGGCUAGUGGACGGGUCGCAGCGGCUUCGGCCCCCCCAUAUUCACCCCACUACCAGAACUCGCCUCGUAGGAAACUGCUGGGCAACAAAACGAACAACUGUUAACAAUGGAUAUCUUGGUUCUC